This 552-nucleotide ribosomal RNA is filed under the name uncultured Alphaproteobacteria bacterium. Its description in RNAcentral is "bacterial SSU rRNA". It matches the Rfam family "Bacterial small subunit ribosomal RNA", at positions 64 to 663 of the family's 1533-position model. Lineage: Bacteria; Pseudomonadati; Pseudomonadota; Alphaproteobacteria. The record is from RNAcentral.
GAACGGCUCUUCGGAGCAGUGGCGGACGGGUGAGUAACGCGUGGGAACGUGCCCUUUGGUUCGGAACAACACAGGGAAACUUGUGCUAAUACCGGAUGUGCCCUUCGGGGGAAAGAUUUAUCGCCAUUGGAGCGGCCCGCGUAGGAUUAGGUAGUUGGUGGGGUAAUGGCCCACCAAGCCGACGAUCCAUAGCUGGUCUGAGAGGAUGAUCAGCCACACUGGGACUGAGACACGGCCCAGACUCCUACGGGAGGCAGCAGUGGGGAAUCUUGCGCAAUGGGCGAAAGCCUGACGCAGCCAUGCCGCGUGAAUGAUGAAGGUCUUAGGAUUGUAAAAUUCUUUCACCGGGGAAGAUAAUGACGGUACCCGGAGAAGAAGCCCCGGCUAACUUCGUGCCAGCAGCCGCGGUAAUACCGAAGGGGGCUAGCGUUGCUCGGAAUUACUGGGCGUAAAGGGCGCGUAGGCGGACAGUUAAGUCAGAGGUGAAAGCCCAGGGCUCAACCUUGGAAUUGCCUUUGAUACUGGCUGUCUUGAGUUCGGGAGAGGUGAGUG